CAGCAGCCGCGGUAAUACGGAGGGUGCAAGCGUUAAUCGGAAUUACUGGGCGUAAAGCGCACGCAGGCGGUCUGACAAGUCAGAUGUGAAAUCCCCGGGCUUAACCUGGGAACUGCAUUUGAAACUGUCAGGCUGGAGUCUUGUAGAGGGGGGUGGAAUUCCAGGUGUAGCGGUGAAAUGCGUAGAGAUCUGGAGGAAUACCGGUGGCGAAGGCGGCCCCCUGGACAAAGACUGACGCUCAGGUGCGAAAGCGUGGGGAGCAAACAGGAUUAGAUACCUGAGUAGUCCCUGUCUCUUAUAC
This 301-nucleotide ribosomal RNA is filed under the name uncultured bacterium. RNAcentral's name for it is "partial 16S ribosomal RNA". It matches the Rfam family "Bacterial small subunit ribosomal RNA", at positions 509 to 807 of the family's 1533-position model. The record is from RNAcentral.